UGCAUUUUAGUGAUAGCACAGACUGAGGCUGCAGAAGCAGACAGAGGGAUGGAGAGAAUCGAUGAGAGAGGUAGAAAUUAAGAGAGAGGAGGGGAGCAGUGCAUUGUCAGAGAGAGCACAACAGGAUUCCCAUGCAGACUGUCACAAAUGUGGACUUGAAGGAGCAGCAUCAGCAGCAGCAGCAAGGGUUAAAUAGAAGGGGAAAAAAAGGAGCAAACUUGUUCCAUUGACCACAGCAGGUAAAAAGACAUUUCCCCUGUAUGAAGAGGAGAAAAGAAGUCACCUGUAAUCAAACUAAGAGUCUGUCAGCAGCAGCAAGAUCACAGAAAGAAACAGACAAGCAUUUAAAGACUCUCGUCUCUGUUGGGGAAAGUGUGACUCCCUCUUUCCUUUUUCUCUCUCUCUCCUUGACUGUCUAUCCACAGGCUGUCCUUCCAUCUGUCUCAGCAGGAUGCCGAAGCAUCAUUUUGGUGUUUGGGACAAAGAGAAAAGCUGACAGAUCCUGGCGUGUUGUUAGAGAGAGGAGACAAAAAAAAAAAACGGAACAUUUGCAAAGCUUCUGGAAAGGAAAGGGGAGGCGAGAGAGAGAGAGAGAGAAAGAGAGAGAGAGAGAGAGAGAGCUGUAUGACUCAGAGCACAGCAGCUAGAAUACUGUGUAUUCUGCAUGCAAGAGAAGAGGUAGAGGGGGAUGGAGGAGCAAUGUGAGCGAUAUAGGGGGAAAAAUAGAGGAAGACUUGACCAGAAUUGAGCAGUCAUUAGACAAAGGAAGGACAGGAUGAGGGCAGAUUCAGCCACACUGGCAGGCGGUGAGUGAGAUAUAGGCCAAGUGAAUCAGCCUGCUACAGGGAAAGGAAGGCGAGAAGAGGGUCAGUUUAGAAAGUGGAGGGUUUGGUAUGACUGAAGCUGGUUGAGGGAAGGUUGAAUGAAGGUUUGCUGCAGGGCAGAAAGUGGACAUAGAGCUGCAAAGGACAGAAGGACGGACUUACUGAAAAACUACUUGAGCAGCCACAGGGGAGAAAGUCCUGAGUGACUGUGUCUCGCCACAGGGAGCGAACAUGACUGAGGUUUGCAUACAGGAGGACGAGCUUCAAGAAGGUUGAUCACAGGAAAGGAAGGAAAUGGUAUGGACGGUAGAGAGGUUAGAGAAAGAACAGACAACGCCAAGGAACAGGUGAUGGAGAUAAAGGGCAAAUCAGGCUAGGUAAGACAUGCUUGACAUCUAAGCAGAGAGCAAUAGUUAAAAAAGGCCAGUAAGAGCACAACCGGAAAACACUGCAGACCAGAGAAGUUGUUGCCCAAUGCACAAAGGCGGGAACAUGGAAACUUUAACCGUGACAGCAACACAGCAAGAGGUUUGUGUUAAAUAUUGAUGCCGACGGGCCACUCUCAAAAGAGCUCACUCCUUGCACCACAGAGACGGAAGCAGAAGGAAGAAACACAGUUGAUGUUUUUCUUCUUGUUUUUUUUUUUUUGGUUAUUCAGAGGGAUUUUUACACUGACGUUAAAAGUGUGUCAGAAGACAGCUGAGUGUGGUGAAGUUGAGAUGUUACUGCGCAUUAAGACAAGACCUACAAAUUAGCCAAGACUCAGUUUCCUGGAGGGCUUUUAUUUUUAUUUUUUGGCCAGCUGUGCAAUUUCUUGGGGAGUGUGGAGUGAUUGCAGAGAGAACGGGACCUCAGUCUUGUGUGGGAGCAGCAAAAGCAAAAAGGGAUUCAAUACUUGAGAGAUCACAUCAGGACUAGAACAAUUUCUUCUUCUCUACAAGAACAAGAUCCAGCCGUGGCUGAUGAAUAGAGAUUUAUAUUUUGGGACUGACUGCCACUGUGAGGUACAUCGCUGCCAGAUGAGAUAAGCCAAACGCUGCUGAAGCAUUCAUAGAUGUUUCCUCUCAUUAUUUUGUCCUGGACUGAUUGGAACUGUUCCAACUCUCUGAAAAUUUCCCCAUUACACAGAUUUGGCUGGUGGAGGUUCGCUGUCAUGGCUUGAGGAAAUCUAAGUGUAGAGACGCUUUGAUGUGCAUCAACACAAAAGGAUCCUUUAACUGGAGGCAGGAUGUAUACUUUGUUUUUGUCUCCAUGACUGAAUAAAGUCACGAUGGCUCUAAAUGUUGUCACGGCAUUAAGGUAGAGACUGCCUCCUCUCCUACCUGAAUCACAGAUUUCUCAAAACAUCACGACAAUAACGCAGGAGGACACAUCGCCACAUUCUCAAUCCAGCUGCGGAUAGACCAGCUGCGUGUGUGUGUGUGUAUAUUUGUGGCGGCGUGGGGGUGUAAGGACUGUCGAGGAGCUCAGCUGUGUUUGUGCGUUAUGCUUGUGUGAGUGUGCGGUGUGUAGAGGUGUGCUAGUGUGUGUGUGUGUGUGUGUGUGCGCCGAGCUCUGAAGCCAGCUGUGUCUGAGUAUAUUGUCAAAGCGUCGCCCGGAGCUGUGUGUGUGUGUAAGCGUGUGUUUGUGUGUGUGUGUGUUGCCUGGAUUCUCCCCACCAGCGAUAGAGCUGGACCUGAACAGCAGUGGUGAGAGGGGGGACAGGGAGGGGGAGGAGGAGGAAGAGGAGAGGGAGGUGAAAGAAACCAGUAGGACGGAGGAGAAGAAAAAACUGACAACAUGCUCGGAUAACAGGGAGAAAGAAAGGAGUCUUUGGCUGCCCCCCUGGUGCAAUGUGUGGCGUCGCGCCCUGUGGGGGUGGGGUUCUGUGAUGGUAACCAUGGUCCCCGGCAGCCGCUAUGUCUGCAGCGCUCAUGCAAGAGAGGACGACUCCACGAACGACCGCGAGGAGCGAAUUCUAGCCGUGCUGGGCAUCAUCGGAACCAUCCUCAAUCUUUUAGUGGUCAUAUUUGUCUACAUCUACACCUCCGUCACCUAAGGUGUUCUUCGGACAAGAGACGUUGGCAGUGUACCCAACCUUGCUCCACACAUGCCAACCCUCCUCUUUAAGUAUUUAUGCACCUGGAGGGUUUGAUUAUGCAGAGUAAGCGCUGAGAUGUGAGGAUCAUUGGCAGCCUGUUCAGCUGGAUGGUAGCCAUAUUUAUCCACACCUGCAUCCCUGCUUAUCCUUUAAGACAGCUCUGCUCCGCUGACUAAAGGCCGCUGCCCGUCACAGAACAGGAGCCACAGGUGGAAUCAUCUGCACUUUCAAACUGUACCUGCACAUUUUCCAAAACAAUAUUUCACACGUCCAUGUCAAAUGACUGCUGACAGUGUGUCCAGUCUGGUAAUGGUCAUAUGUGUGUGUAAUCAAUACUAAUGCAUGACUGUGGUGUUGCAUUCCUCUGACUGUUUCGACAGCUAGACCGAAGCUCUUAUGUGUCUUUCAUCUGAUGGUGCUCAUAUCUGACUGUGCUACAUCUGCCUUUAUGUCUCAUAACACCGUGUUUUUUUCUUUUCAGCUUUCUUUUUAUGAAUUUUAAGAUAAAGUCACUGCCAAAUAGUCUGACAAACACAGCACUUUGAGUUCACUUGACCAAAUUAGUUGAUAGGGAGGGAUGGUACACUGCUAAAACUAUAUUAGGGACCAAAAAUUCGCCAAGUGAAUUAUCAACAGAGGGACCCCAUAGGCCUAUUUGCUCCUCAGCACUGUUAAUUCUACUUGAACAGAGCGUCAGUGCAGAUGUACAGCUGAUCGCUCAUAACUAAAAAAUUUGUUUUCUGUAGUCAGUGGAGUCACUGAAAAAGUUUUACAUGGACCUGAUGAGUCCAUACCUGAGCACACCGGAGGAGAGAUUCCUGGCUGUGCUGGGAGUCAUCGGCAUCGCGCUCAACCUCCUGCUGCUUGUCUUCGUCUAUAUAUACACCUCCAUCUGAUGCGCGUGCCUGAACACAUUGUCAGCUAUGAGAUAACUUGCCGCACCUCCAGUAACUGCAGCUGUAGCCAACAGCCAGGGGCUUCCAGUGAUCAUCCUGUACAUUCUUCAACCACACAUGUAUAUAUUGUACCUAUAAGCACAGCCUGAUUCUUAGCUUAUUUGGGGAUUAUGUUAUUCUAGGCAGGUUUCUGUGCCUAACAAUACAAGUGAUAUUCUAAUAAUAGUGGGAACUUGAUGAAAAGAGGAUGAUGAGAGAAUUUAAAGGCAAAAGCAUUGAGCUUAAGAAAAGAAAAGGAGAUUUGUUUACAGACUGGUUUAUGAAAGAAACAUGCUUUACAAAAUUCACCUUCUUUUGUGGAAAAUUGUGUCCUGCAGUUAGUGUUUUUGUAGAUACAGUACUCGCUCACUUAUGUGCAUCAUGAAAUGUUUACUUAAGCUUGUAUGGCUAUAAUCAAAUACUUUUUAUCACGCUUUGACCAAAAUAACUGAUGUGAAGACUGUCGUCUUUGUAGUAAUUCUGUUUGUUCUACAUGCUCAUUGAUGUUGAAAGCACCUAGACAUGAAAGUACAUGGUUUUGAUGUCUCAGUCUGUGCAGCAGCUCUGCGCAUCAGCAAAGAUACCUCUGUGGACGGUUGGUACCACAGGAUAACGCUCUGUUUUCUGGUGUCAUGUUUCUGUGAUUGGAUCUGUGAGCAAGGCAGAUCCAAGCAGCGUCAGAGAGGGCAAAGCGUGGAACUGAGACAAUGUCACACAAAUCAAGACGGCGCACUUUUGCAGUGCAGCACAAAGGAGCGCAACAGUAACAGAGGAAUCAGGGAGAGCCAGUGUGGAUUGUCUGACAAAAGAGGACAUAAAACCUCUGUGCAAGGCCUCACCGUCUGUCUCGAAACUCAUGAAGGCACAAAAGUCUCCCUGGGAUUUGGUUACAACAUUUCCACUGGAGCUGCAUGUCACUAUGGAUAUGAUUUUAGGUUUAAGCGCUGUGUCUCUAAUGGAGGAGCAAACCUAAAUGUAGUUGACAAGCGAGCAGGAAGGACUGGCCUGAAUCUACACUUCAUCCUCGUCAUUCUCUUCUCCACCAACAAGCUAAAGCCAGAAAAGACAUAGUACUGAGAGGACCCACAUGAGUCCCUGCUGUCAUUUCACAUAGCACAAUACUUUUAUAUAUAUAUAUAAAUGCACCCAUACCUGUGAAAAGGACUUCAUUUCAUACACCAUCAGUCAAAGGUUCUGGGGAAAGACAUAACAAACAGGAACGCAGGAACAGUUUGUUUUCUAAAAUGAAUGGCCAGCACCUCUGACUGCUCACUUAACCUACUGCAAUUUUACAUGUUUGCUUGUGUGAAUAUGUACUGAGAUUUUGAUAAUCAUUGCAUAAUAAGAUUCCUUGUUACAUUGUGUAUAUAUGCUCUUAGUUUUAGUACCAGUUUAUCAUUGAGUGUUUUGUUUGCAAGCAAAUCUGAAAGUCACAGCCAGCACAUUGGAAAAUGUUUGGGAUGAAUUUGAAGAAAUAUCUAUGGUCCCACUGGCCACAGUCUAUUUUUAUUGAGUGGAAGCGAAGAAGGUGCAUGGCCAUAUCUACAGAAUGCUGGAUGGAUAACUGACCACAAUUUACCUCCCCAAAUUGAGUGAUGAAUCAAAAGGGUACAUAUUUAAAUUACUUGUAAUGCAUAAUUAACUUGCCUUAGGACUCACUCAUACAAACUCACACAUGUUCUUACUUCUGUACCUGAGAACCUUCGUUGAAAAAUUGCUUUUGCUCCCAACCAUAACCACCGCAUGCCUAAUCCAAAUCUUAGCAACUUUUUGGUUUUCAGUUAUGUUAACAUUAUUCUCUCCAACAUAAUUGCUGACAUCCAAGAAAAUGGUUAUAUCGCUAAAGAGAGGUCAGAAUAUAUAAGCGGUCAGACUAAUCUGGUGGUUAUCCCUGGGUCAAACUUAUUCGGGAGACAAAAUGUGGGUGAACGGUGAAAUUAUUCACCGAACUGUCUAUUUACAGACCCACUUCCUGCUUCAACUGGGACUUAAACCGGACUUGCUGCAGUUUUAUAGUUUUCCUGUGCAAUGAGAGAGUAAGCAAUAUUACAGUGGGCUCACUUUAAUUUUUACCUCCCAAAUAAAUUUAAUGAAAAAUAAUAUUUUGGCUAAACUGGAGGCUUUUUUACAAAUUGUACUAUUAUCCGACAGGUGUCUCCUGCCCCGUUCGACCUUCUUGUAGCAAUGUAGCUGUGUUCUGAGAUGCCAGCAAUUACAGUGUUAUCAUAACUGCUGGAACCAGUGCCCCGAGCUCUCAUGACAAAUACCCGAAAUGUGACAAGCCAUAUCAAACAGCUCUUUAAAGAACUGAAAGCCCAAAGUACCUCACUUUCCAAAAACGUCCGCAUAGACCUAAAACUCAAAUUGAUCCUCACAAUGAUAGAAAAACGAACGCGCACACACACACCGCACGCAUUCUAGCUUUAAAGAGUUUAAUUUUACACCAUCUUUCAGCAUACAUCAGGAGAGUCGACAGUUAGCAUGCUGAGAUCGAUGUGACUUGCACAUUUACUUCCUGUCACAUCUAAUAACUGCACAGUUGAGUUUGUUGAGCUAAAUCCACUUAAAGUGUGCACCACAGCACAGUAUGAGCCACCUUUGGUUCGCCAGACAUCUGCUGUCACACUGUGACAGUCAAAGCCACAGCUGUGGAGAACCACAUUUGAAGAUACUUAAUGUUUUUGGUCCACUUGAUGUUAGCAAACAAACUAAAUGAACAAGCAUUCUCAGCGUUUCAGCUCAGGUUUACUUAGAUACUGGCAAAGGCUUUCUGGUACCACUUUCUAAUAAGGCACCCUUUAGAAUGGGUUUAUAAUUUUGAACCAAUAGCUUUAUUAAGAGCACUCUGGGUUGCACAUUGCCUGGUAUUUAUUCCUUUUUAAUAAGGCAGUUCUAUAAAGGAUUUAUCAGUUGUAACUAAUGGUUUUAUCAAUGGUAAAUCAAUUCUUUACUGAUGCAAUAUGGCUGAUUAGAAAAUGAGAUAUCCAUGAGCAUUAAUUAAGUGAUUAUAUUUGCAUUCUUACCAAAUAGAAAAACAAAUAAAUACAUAAAUUCUAGCUAAAGGGAUUUAAAAACAAACUGCUAUUAAUAAGAAAAAAACAAUGUUCUCUUCUAAUUGAUUUACAAAGCAUUGGUGAAUUAUUUAUUAACCACUGCUAAAACAAUUAAGCAAUUAUUACUUAUAAACCCUUUUUAAAGGGUGCCUUAUGUGAAAAUGAUACCAGUUUGUGGGUUUUCAAAGGCCAAUGGUAAAUCUAAUAUUUUUAGACUGAAAUAACGGAAAGACAUUUAUUUUGUGCCAAUAUUAAAUAUUUUUUAAUCUUUUUAAAUGUUCAUGCCAAAAUAUUGAAAUGUAAAUAUAUAUUAACAACUAUGAGGCAAAGUGGCUCAUCUUAUACAACCAAUGGUCAGAUUAUAUAUUAAGUCUAAAUGAAAAAUACAUUUAAAAAAUAAAAUGAACAAAGAAAUAAAAUUUAAAAAACAAUGCUGAUUUAUAGACUUCAUAAUAGUUUUCUGUAGCCUUGGUCAGGGGGGGAACAUUCAUCAUGUCAGCAAUCAACAGUAUUGACUGAUAUUAGAUAAAAAUUCAAUAAUAAUUAUCUUAUUGUGUAUUCUGCAUGCAGUUCAGGUUUUUGGUUAAGACCACUUAACAUGACAGGCCCACUGCCACACAGACCAAUGAGAGGACAGAGCCUACAGGGUGAGUCCUGGCCAUCUGCUGUCCUCCUCACCACACACACACACACACACACACACACACACACACACACACACACACACGCACGCACGCACGCACGCACGCACGCACACACACAAACGCACGUGCACACACACAGCAUGGACUUUUCUUAACAAUGUAACUCAAAUGUCUCACACAGAAUCAAAAUGCACAGCUUGAGAUGGUUUAUUAUUUAUUUGAUGCCUGUUCAUGUGGGGUUUUUUUUUUUUUUUUUUUAAUAAUUCUCUUUGCACAAACAUUAUGUUAUGGAAACGGAGAAGAAACAGGUGCAUCAGAGUACACCUGGGAGCCCUAACCACUGCACCAGGCAUGGAUUAUUAACACAAAACACUGUAAGCAAGAGACCAAUGUUCAAAGACAGGCAAAUGUGCAUUCGGACACUGUGAGACAGAUUCCCACGUUUUUUAUGAUUCAUGAGCUGAAUUGAUUUUUAGCCUGAGAGGGCACAUUGGACACAGACUGUCAGUUUUCAUUUAACAGCCAGUUAUUUCCUGAGCAGACAGGACCAGUGAUCUAAGAAACUGCCAGGUGACAGAAAACCUCAGAAAUGAUCUAUUCACCAAGGUUUUGUGUGACAUGCUGAUUAUUUAGUGACUAACAUUCCAGGACAAUAGCUGUUACGGUACUGUAGAUUUGAAAUGGGAGAUGUCCAGAAGGACGACCCCAACUGAUAACGUUCGCUUCUAUGAGCAAAAGAUAAAGUUAUAUUGCCAUAGGAGAGAAACUUGGUCGUCUAGAAUCGUGUAAGAGAAUUAUGGCCAUUUCUGAUGAAGCUGAUGAAGAAUCAGUUUGGUACGAUCCCUGAGCGUAACCACUGAACAAAUGCUGUGAGAUCUGGUGUACUUUCAUGUAAUGUUUAUAUAUAAUGUAUAAUUAUAGUAAUGCCAAUAAAAAAGAAAAACACCACUUUCAAA
This is a long non-coding RNA of Seriola aureovittata, 8492 nucleotides long. RefSeq lists it as uncharacterized. The transcript has 3 exons. NCBI's taxonomy places the organism in Eukaryota, Metazoa, Chordata, Actinopteri, Carangiformes, Carangidae. The record is from RefSeq and is a predicted model, not a curated record.